Molecule: non-coding RNA, 3646 nt
Organism: Macaca mulatta (Rhesus monkey)
Lineage: Eukaryota; Metazoa; Chordata; Mammalia; Primates; Cercopithecidae
Source: RefSeq, a predicted model, not a curated record
GAGAGGGGAAUUGCAGUGGUGGCGGGGCAGGGGUGGUAAGGAGACCCAGCUCCAGCGGGCUCACUGCCGAUGAGGGCCACCGCCCAGGCAAAAGAUUCCUUCACACACUUCCCCCCACUCACCCAGAGCAAAGCACUGAGACUUCCAUCAUGCACAAGUCCUUCAGCUUAUUGGAGUCCUUCAACUUAAGUUCUUUCUUAACAGAUAUCCCAUUAGGAUUAAGAAAACCUCACCACCAACAAACUUCAUACCCCAUCAACAGUGAUGUCAGCAUGAGGAUUAAUACUUUGGGAAAGAAAUUUUUUUUCAAGUAAGACUUCUAUGAAAUGUGCUGCUUGCCAUGUGCCAAGGUUUUUGGCUGAUUCCCAGAUCCUAUGGAGAAAGUGUCUUCAUAUGCUUGUUCUGUAAACACAGGCAGAGCCAGGAUCAGAAUAUAGAAACAGUGAAAUCGUUGAGAGCACCAGAGACAAGAGAGCUGGUUGACGGUGCUGGUGUUGCCCACGGAGAGAGCAGGAAAGCAGAAUAUUUAAACCUCUGCCAAACUCCCAAGAAGCUGACUUUUCAAUGUGCAAUGUCAUUCCUCAGGUUGUUUCCCGCCCAUCAAAUGCCAGUGGCCUAGACUGACUGUUGCCAGCAUUCCUGGAGAGCCCAGGAAGUACACUAUGGUGAUGAAAAUGACUGUGGCAAUCCAGCAGUCUGCUCUAACUGGAUGAUUGUAAGAGGGUAAAGAAGAUAGUGCUGAACUUUGUGAUGGUUUUAUAUUCCAGUAAACGCCCAGUAAGACAACAUUGGAGACAGCAGGGCCCAUAUGGGUAUUGGAGAAACAAUGGACAAAGUCAGACCCAGCCCAGUGGAUGACGGCAGGAUCUCACUAGUGUUGGUCUCACAAGUGUUGAGUAGAAGAUACCCAGAGAGUGAGACAACUUCCAGGACUAGAACUGUGUGUGGAGUCCAAACCAGGAGAGUUGGGGAAAGAGGGCAGUUGGACAUCAUCUUCGUGGAUGGAAUCUUGCCAGGAAGAAGACCUCCUUGAGAAGAAGAUGGGUGAGUGAAGGCAACAAGUAAUUGACACGGAUCGAGCAUCUACACCGGGAAGUAUUCCCUGUGAACCCAUGAGACCUCAUCCCUGCGUUGGUCUGGCUGGCUUUCCCUGUGAGAUACAGGUUCCUCCAGAAGAGCUGGAGCUCCAUUCCAGCCCUGGACUUCUCCUUGCUUCCAGACUUCAAGAUGAGAAGCAUUUUUCCAGUCCACAAGUGUUAGAGGACGCUGCCGAUGAUGUGUGUUUUGCCCAGGCUGGACUCAGCUUCUUUGGGUAAAGGUUAAGUUUUCUUCAAAAUAAGAGGAAUCUAGAGAAACUGAGACCAUUAAGCAAAUUUUUAGAAGUAGAUGAGAAGGAAAGUUGGAAAACAAAGCACACUUGCUUACAGAGAAACUAGGAGAUCACCUUUAUUAAGAAAGCACCUUAAUUUGGGGCAGAGAGGGGUUUAUAGAAAGUUGGUUGGAGAGAGUGGAGCUUGAAGUAGAGCUAAUUUCCUGAAUUCUUGGGUUAAAGACUCCCCAUGGCAUCCCUUCCCAAAGCAGAUAGCAGUAAAAGGAGCAGGUUUGAGCCAGGGAAGCUGAUGGUCUGGCUGCACAGCGGGCAAAGGACCCUGGGGCCUGGAUAGCUCGCUGCAUGGCUCUUUGCUGAUGGGCCUGGAGGAGGGAGAAAGCAACAGCACUGGGUGCCCACGCCCGACUCCCAGGGCAUUUAAGGUAUCUGAAGCGCAGGCAGGACAAGGGGUGUGGAAGAUGCAGUCAGCUUUGGUUUCCUCCUGCCUUCACUCACACAACCCUGGCUUUGUCUCUCACCUGGGGCCCCCAACACUAGGGCAGUGAUCCUAGUAACUAUCACCUGCUCCUCUUCCUGUCCACAGAUCCUCAAUGCCUGGGCCCCGCUCCAAGGCCUUGCUCACACCUUUACAUCCACCCAGAGUGCCCUUCACUGCUCUACACUGAUUUAAACACCACCCAGUUUCCAAGGCUUGGUUUGAAUACCGCUUACUCCAGGAAGCCUUUUAUGAUAUCUUUAGUUCCCCAGUGCUCUUGGAUUCUGGACUCUUCUGAUUUUCCUCCUGCUUCACUGCCCAUAUCUCACUCACUCCUCCUCCCACCCACCCGAAUGUUGGAAUACCUACAGCAUCGUGCUGGGCUCUCUUUUUUCCUUUACAAACACUUCCUCUUUUUGGGGAAAUUUCUUUACCUUGUGGUUUUAAUUACUAACCUUAUAUCAGUAACUCCAAAAUUAUUCAAGUGUGUACACCUGGCCUUUUCCGUGAUCUUGAGACUCAGGUACCCAAUUGUCUUCUCUUCACCUCUACUUGUUCAUCUAAUAGGAAUCCCAACCCUCAGACAUCCCCAAAGGAGGCUCUGUUGCCUUCUGUAACUUCUUUUCCAAAUCUCAGUAAAUGGCACCACCACCACCAUAUACCUAGUUGCUCAAGCCAAGCAGAAGCCUAACUCUAAUCUAUCUCAUCCUUCUAUUCCCUGGAUAUCUUUCAUUGACAAAUCCUACUGACUUUGCUUAAAAACAUAGUCUACGUUCUUCUAAAUUGUUCUCUCUCAACCCAGGGCAGGCGACGAUCUUCACAAUCAGGAACAUUGCAAAAUCUUCUUUUCACUCAUCCCCUUGGCUUCACCUGUUACCUAAAUCCACUCUUCACAAAGUCAAAUGGUAUUUUUAGGACAUAAAUGAAACCAUGCACUCCUCUGCUCAGAACCCUCCAGGGUCUUUCUAUUAUGCCGAGGAUAAGAUGCAAAUUUCUUAUCCUGGCCCACGUAGUUGAGUUUCCUGGGGUCUGGCCCUUGCUGGGUUCUCUGAUGUCAUCUCUUGUUCUGCUUCCUCGUUUGCUCAUCCCACUCCACCUACUGGUUCUCAGAGACCCUGAGGUUGUCCCCACCUCGGUUCCUUGGCACUGGCUGUUUCCUUUGCCUGGGAUGUCUUGCUCUACGUCUUCCUAGGGCUGGCUGCUUCCUGUCAGGCAGGUCUCAGAUCAGAUGUCACUUCUACCAAGAGGCCUUUUCUGACCCGGUUAAAGCAGCCCCUCACUCAUCCUCUCUCCUGCACCACACUGCUUUAUUUUCUUCAUAGCACUGAUGACACCCGGGCACUGUGUUGCCUGUUUGUUGGGUUUAUUUUUUAUUGUCCAUCUCCCCACACCAGCAUGGAAACUCUAUGAGGAGAGAAAGCCCUCCUGACUCACUCCCCAACUCUAUCCCAGCCUUUAAAGUGAUGCCUGGCCCAGAGCAGGCACACGGCAAAUCUUUACUUAACGUCUAAAUAAAUAAAUGGGCCCCAAAGAGAUGCUGUUUGAUUUGGAAAGCUUUGAUUUCCUUUUUGGGAAACAAGUUCUAGCUGACUACAAUUUUUACUCAAAAGGAUAUAUAUAGUCUGUGUAUUUUACCCAAAUAACAUGCAUUGCAGUUUCUGUCCUUUCCCUAAUAUUUUGACACAACUAUUACUAUGUAUUAUUUAUUUGUUAUGGAAGAGAUGGACCAUAUCAGGUCUCCAUGUUUUUGUUGAUAAACUCUCGAGCAUUGGGACAUUUAUCUCCAAUGCGUCUUCCUCUCAGCAGCCUGGCAAAGAGGCAGUGCUGUGCCAGGAAAGAAC